RNAcentral lists this ribosomal RNA (729 nucleotides) under Triticum aestivum (bread wheat). Its description in RNAcentral is "partial small subunit ribosomal RNA". The record is from RNAcentral. Lineage: Eukaryota; Viridiplantae; Streptophyta; Magnoliopsida; Poales; Poaceae.
AUGUUGAUGAAUCUAAAAUUGAGGCAAUUAAAACUUGGCCCCAACCCAUUGCAACAAGUGCGUAACUUUCUUGGCCUUGCGGGUUUUUAUCGUCGCUUUGUGAAAGAUUUUAGCACUAUUGCCGCUCCUUUGCAUGCCUUGAGUAAGAAGAAUGCUCCUUUUGUUUGGGGAUCUUUGCAAUCUACUGCUUUUGAUGAGUUCAAGUCUUUGCUUACUCAUGCUCUGAUUCUCACUUUGCCCAACUUUGACAAAACUUUUGAGGUUCAUUGCGAUGCUAGUGGUACCGGAAUUGGCGGAGUUUUGAUGCAAGAAAAACGAGCCAUUGCAUAUUUUAGUGAAAAACUCUCCGGUGCUCAACUUAACUAUCCCAUCUAUGACAAAGAAUUGUAUGCUUUAGUGCGUGUGCUACAUGUUUGGGAACAUUAUCUUAGACCUCAUGAGUUUGUCAUACAUACCGAUCAUGAAACACUUAAGUACUUGAAAGGCCAAACUAAGUUGAACAAGCGUCAUGCAAAAUGGAUUGAAUUUAUUAAAUCUUUCCCCUAUGUGAUCAAGUACAUUAAGGGUAAGGAAAAUGUAGUUGUGGAUGCACUUUCAUGCAUAUGCAUGCUUGUCACUAAACUUGAGUGGAAUGUUAUUGGCUUUGAGCACAUAAAAGACUUGUAUGCGAAUGAUCCUUCCUUUGCUAAUCCUUAUGCUAAGUGUUUGACACAUACAUCUUGGGAAUGA